GAACCCCCCUUUUAUUGAAAGAAAACUGAGGUCUAUUCUUCCUCUAGUUCUCAUUCUUCUUUUCCUGCUGGUCAUUUUUGACCUUCUUCGCAUCCUUUUUAUCGAACACAACACUGCAUCGACGAUACAUCAUCACUUCUAAAUCUUCAGCUUUGCACCUUGUAACGGUAAAUUCAUGACCAUCAAGCUAUGGAUAAGCUUAACAUCAAUAAAACCAGAGUC
RNAcentral lists this long non-coding RNA (222 nucleotides) under Lathyrus oleraceus (garden pea). RNAcentral describes it as "Pisum sativum (pea) long non-coding RNA (PSAT_LNC027655)". Lineage: Eukaryota; Viridiplantae; Streptophyta; Magnoliopsida; Fabales; Fabaceae. The record is from RNAcentral.